GAUGAACGCUGGCGGCGUGCCUAAUACAUGCAAGUCGAGCGAACAGAUAAGGAGCUUGCUCCUUUUACGUUAGCGGCGGACGGGUGAGUAACACGUGGGUAACCUACCUAUAAGACUGGGAUAACUUCGGGAAACCGGAGCUAAUACCGGAUAACAUUUGGAACCGCAUGGUUCUAAAGUGAAAGAUGGUUUUGCUAUCACUUAUAGAUGGACCCGCGCCGUAUUAGCUAGUUGGUAAGGUAACGGCUUACCAAGGCAACGAUACGUAGCCGACCUGAGAGGGUGAUCGGCCACACUGGAACUGAGACACGGUCCAGACUCCUACGGGAGGCAGCAGUAGGGAAUCUUCCGCAAUGGGCGAAAGCCUGACGGAGCAACGCCGCGUGAGUGAUGAAGGGUUUCGGCUCGUAAAACUCUGUUAUUAGGGAAGAACAUAUGUGUAAGUAACUGUGCACAUCUUGACGGUACCUAAUCAGAAAGCCACGGCUAACUACGUG
This 497-nucleotide ribosomal RNA is filed under the name uncultured bacterium. RNAcentral describes it as "partial 16S ribosomal RNA". It matches the Rfam family "Bacterial small subunit ribosomal RNA", at positions 28 to 507 of the family's 1533-position model. The record is from RNAcentral.